UUAUUCUGAUUGAUUUGAUUCUGCACAAGAAGAAAGCUUUAUGCCCAUUUGACUCCCAAGCUCCCGCCUUUCAGGGUUUAUUGUGGAAGUCAGGUUUGGAAAUGUUCUUCUCUGAUUUUGAUCAUUGAUUUAUUUGUAUGAUCCUCCCAUGCUGUGGAACUCAAAGGUUAGAUUAUAUAAGUAUCAACAUUUUCUUCCUUCCUAAG
This 206-nucleotide long non-coding RNA is filed under the name Rosa chinensis. Its description in RNAcentral is "sRNA RchiOBHm_Chr1g0333751". Lineage: Eukaryota; Viridiplantae; Streptophyta; Magnoliopsida; Rosales; Rosaceae. The record is from RNAcentral.